GGAGCACUAGAUGGACCCGGGCGAUCUAAGAAAUUUAAGAAUGACACAAAACAAAAGUAACUAUAUCAGAUAAAGUAUUUCUUUACCACUCUUAGAAUUUUAUUUUAUACUCUUAAUUUUUCUACGUAAUCUAAUCUCGAUAUUAAUUUCUUUUCUAUAAUAAAUUUUAUUUCUCUAUCGAACUCUAUUUUAUUUAUUUUCUACCGAAAUCUAUUUUAUUUUCUAUUAUUUUCUACUCUCUAUAAAUAAUUAAAUUUCUAUAAUGAAUUUUAUUUGCUACCGAAAUUCAUUUUANNNNNNNNNNNNNNNNNNNNNNNNNNNNNNNNNNNNNNNNNNNNNNNAUCUCCCCUAAAAAUUGGACUUUCCACCUGUUUAAAAUAUCAACAAUUUUAUCUAAUAACUCCAAAUCACACAGCCCAUCCAUCGGGCAAUCAAUCAAUUCAAUUUUUUUUUUCUUCUUUUUUUUUUUUUUUUCCAUCCUCCAUCCAAAGAACAAUAUUAACAUUACCUUUAAUCCUCAAUUCCUCAUUUCAUACCAUUCAUAAUAUUAUUAUCAAAAUUCCUCAAUAAAUUACUUCAUACUGAAUUUAAUUUUAACUAAUUAUUAUUUUUAUUAAUUAAUAUUUACUUCAUAUUAAUUAAUCAAUAAAUAUUUUUAUUGAUUAACUAAAUAAUUAAUAUUUUUAUUAAUUAACUAAAUAACUAAAAUUACUAACUAAAUAUUUUUCUUUUAUUAAUCAAUAAAUUAAUACUAUUUAAAUUAAUUUCACUACAUAAUAUUAAUUAACUACGCAAACUAACUAAAAUUAAAUGAACUAAAUUAAUUAACUACAAUAAUAAAAUUAACUUAAUUAACUAAAAUUACUAAAAUUAAUUUAUACCCCAAAUAUAAUUUUUCUUGCUGAAUUUCGUUAGAUCGGUGACGAAACCAAAUUGACUGGAUCAACCAAAACUGGCAGCAGCACUAACCGGAGUCGCGCGCAGGAGGUGCUGUGUCAAGCGGCGACGACUGCUGUGGCAGAGCUGCUGCGGUGAGGAGCACCGGUGGCGCGCGAUGGCGUGGGUGGCGCACGAUGCUGCUCUGUCUCACCAGUAAUGCAGGCGCAAUGAAGAAAGAAAGGAAGAAAGAAAAGAAAAGAAAAGAAAGAAAAGAUGAAGAAGAAGAAAGUGGAGGAGAAGGCUGGCUGGGUGGCGCUGCGUGGUGGUCUGGACUGAGUGAGUGAGAUGAGUUGAGUGUGAAGAUAAAAGAAAGAAGAUGUUUCUAGAUGAUUUGGGUCGAUUCGGUUUGAUUCCGCCCAAAUCUUUGGUUUUCAUUUGAUUUUUGAAUUUUUAACUGAUUUUUCGGUUCGGUUUAUCACGGUGCGAACUAUUAAUUUGCAUUUAAAUAAUUUAAUACAUUUUCCACGCUGUCAGUUUAUUAAAUUUAAAUGAAAAAUAUUUGAAAAUAAAAAUUCGGGUUAUUUCAGUCUUCCCCCCUUAUAAAAAUUCGUCCUCGAAUUUUAAAGCUAACAAGAAACUAGGAUGCAACAGUUGUUUACUACAAUGGUGGUUGUGCUUCUCACAUAAUGCUGCAACUGCUAAAAGUUAUGACAUUUACACUCAGGAGAAUUCUUGUUCUGAUGAACAGUUAGAUAUCUACCUUAUCACUAUAGUUAAUUUAAACUUGAGUUGUACUAUAUCCACAAGUCAAAUCAAGUAGAACAUUCAUAACCCAAGGCACAGGUUCGACACUAAUAUUCACCUUUACACAAAAGAAUUUAAGUUCCUCAUAACUUUUGCUAAGUAAAGAUUAUUAAUCUCAUUAGCUAUAUAUCAUGUGACCUACAUUGACGUAUAGUCUCAUUUAUCUCUCAUGAGCUAUUAUAAGCAAUGAUCAUCACUCAAUAAGACGCUCAUACGUAAACCAAAUAUUAGAUCUUCUGAUACAAGAAUCCACAUUUUCAAAUUUACUACUAUCCCAAUUUAGAAUCCUUAUUU
RNAcentral lists this long non-coding RNA (1977 nucleotides) under Jatropha curcas. Its description in RNAcentral is "long non-coding RNA (JCUR_LNC002268)". Lineage: Eukaryota; Viridiplantae; Streptophyta; Magnoliopsida; Malpighiales; Euphorbiaceae. The record is from RNAcentral.